This 2753-nucleotide long non-coding RNA is filed under the name Homo sapiens (human). RNAcentral describes it as "HSALNT0398813". Lineage: Eukaryota; Metazoa; Chordata; Mammalia; Primates; Hominidae. The record is from RNAcentral.
AAGCGGUUGCCUUCUGAGGGCUGAAGCGUAUAUCAGUACCAGGUUCAGACUUCGUGGGAGGCUUUAAGAGGGGGGGAAGGGCCUAUGAUAAUACAUUGGCGUGGACAUGUGCGUCUUAAGUUUGGGAAAGUGUUAUGAGAGGUGGUUGGGACCACCGAGCGUCUGCUUUGGUGUAUCUGAUGGCCCCAUUCUCCGUGAGGUUAGGCCCAUUCUCCGUGAGGUUAUGUGAUUUGAUAUGUGACCCUAUAUGCAUCUCUGUGGGUGUUUGGUUGACACUUGAGCUGUAGAGUGUGUCUGCUGUGUGACUUUUUCUUAAUUGUUUAAUCUUUAUGAGCUUCAGUUGCUCAUGUGUGCACGGAACAAUAUUUCUUAGCUAAUAGUGUUGCGAGGAUUAAGUGCUCAUAAAUGUGCCUGGCACAAAAUAAGCAAUGAAUGGAGAAACUGUGCUUCAGUGCAUUAUUUAGAUCAUGGGCUUUUAGGUCAUUUGAUUCUACUUUGUCAUUGUUUUGAGCUAUUUACCAACUCACAUUGUGGAUCACUGAUGGCAGUUCAAAUUACUUCUUGUUUACAGAAAAGUAAAUUGGAGGAGGCUCAGCUUACUUCCCUCCUCCAUCUCCAUUUGUGAGGAGGCCAGUUUUUGCCUCUUUUGCUGCUGCAUAUCAUUUUAAUUUUAAUUUUUUUUGUUUUGUUAAGAAACAGCAUCUCACUCUAUUGCCAACACUGAAGUGCAGUGGCACCAUCAUAGCUCACUGCAGCCACGACCGCUUGACAUCCUGGAUUGAAUCUAUCUUCCUGCCUCAGCCUCCUGAUUAGCUGGGACUACAGGUGUGCACCACCAUGCCCGGCUAAUUUUUUAAGUAUAGGUGAGAUCUCACUAUGUUACCCAGGCUGGUCUCAAACUCGUGGCCUCAAGCGAUCCUCCCACAUUGACCUCCCAAAGUGCUGCGAUUACAGGCAUGAGCCACUGCAGCCAGCCACUUUAAUAUUCUUGAUCUAUAAAUGUGACUUUUUUUCGGCUCGGGGAAGGGUUCUCUUAUGAGUUGGUUUUAAUACGUCACCAGUUUUUCUCAUUAAUGAGUUAAGUAAAAUCUUCAAUCUGUGUAUUUUGCCUAUUAGAGUGCCUUGUAAUUUUUUCCUGAUAGCUGAAUAUGAUGUACUUGGUAAAAUGAGCCGCAUGAUAGGUCUUUAGUAACAUGGUGAUAAGAUUUGGUUGUGAGAGGGGAAGUGUUCUAUGGUCUGCAAAAAUAAUAUAUAAACUUAGGCACAUUAAAAUUUUAAAGAGUUUAAGCAGAUAGCAGUUCAUGAAUUGGGCAUUGCCAGAUCACAUGCAGCUUAGGGCCUCUCUGAAGAGGCAUGAGGGAAGGGCUUUUACAGGCUGAACUCAGAAACAAGGCAAAGAAAAUACUUGAUUGGUUAGAGUAGAGCCUUAUUUGGAUCAUUCCAGUGGGAAGUCAAUAGUAGGAGGUUAAUUGGUGGUUUCUGAUUGGUUAAGGCCAGUUACACUGAGUUGGGUUUGGGUUUGCUUAGGUUAAGAAUUCAGGCUACUGGAGCCACCUCGGCCUAAUGGCCUCCCAAUUAAUGGUUUCAACAAGUCUUAAUGGUAAGGUUUCUUUUUUUUUUUUUUUUUUUUUGAGACAGAGUCUCGCUGUGUCACCCAGGCUGGAGUGCAAUGGCACAAUCUCGGCUCACUGCAAGCUCCGCCUCCUGCCUCAGCUUCCCGAGUAGCUGGGACUACAGGCAUCCGCCACCACACCCAGCUAAUUUUUUGUAUUUUUAGUAGAGACGGGGUUUCACCAUGUUAGCCAGGAUGGUCUCGAUCUCUGACCUCGUGAUCCGCCCGCCUCGGCCUCCCAAAGGUUUCAGUCUCUUAUCCUGAGCCCAGGGACUAUGAAUUUCACAAGUCCUUCCGAGUAAAACCCUUUCCCCUUAAGUGGGACAGGGUGGCAAGAGGGGACCAGAAUUGUUUAUUUUCCUUCUUCCAGGUCAUUUGGACACUGAUAAAACCCCAAGACGGUAGGCUCUGAUAAAAUAGUUUCUCUCCUGAGCAUUGAACAGAAUGCCGUGGUAUAUUUCAAAAUGGCUACUCUUCCUCUUCCCCUGCCAGAACCAGCUGGGGACUUUUCUCAGAUCUUCACUGUGAGAACCUGCUAGAGUCCUUGGAGAUAAAACUCACGAAAGUGUAAAGAUAGCUCUAUGGCAAGGUCUUCUUGGAGUUUUUAAUUCUCAGACUUAACCACAUUCAGCUUCCAGCAAUUCAUCAAUUAGAGUUCAGGUUUUCCUAACCUUGUUCUGGUUCCUGCAGAGGCACAAAGAUUACUGCUUGUGAGUUUCUGCUCUGGAAUGGAUGUUUUCUUUUAAAAAUGGUUUAUUGAAGUAUCAUGUACCUAUCUUAAGUGUACAGCACGAUGAUGUGUAUGCCCAUGUAACCAUCACCUAGAAGGAUGAGAACCACAAGCAUGAGAACAUGAGGAUAAAUACACUUUGGGGAAAAAGAAAACAGACAGAGGCAGCAGAGAAGGAAGACGAGAAGAAGAGAAAAAGAGAAGUAGGAAGAGGAUGAAUUCAUUUCGCUUAUCUGGCAAAUGUGUAAUCUGAGUAAUAGAGGGAACAACAGAUUGGACCCAACUAGGAUCUCCCUUGGAGUGGAUCAGACUGAUGAUUUCCACUAUCCAAAAGCUUCCUGAAUAAAAAAGAAGAAGGUGUCACCUACUUCAAUGUGACAUUGACCCCACCACUACAUCUUAAAGACCCUG